CUACCGGUGCCCGGGCCGGAUUAUUCGAAUCCCCUCAGCGGUGAACACAACGCUCAGGCUGGUUCCGCCAAGCUAUCUGUGCCUAUUUCUCUGGAGACUUACUGCGGGGACACCAGACCGUCUUCAUCGUCGUAUGUGACAGUACACUUGGGGCCUGUAUUUGGAAUAAGAAAGCCUUGCUGUUUUCUGACUGGAGAGAAGGAAGAUAAGACUCCUCUGGAUUUCCUAAGGAAUUUUGUCUGGACGCUUUGUUACCGUGGCUAUUGAAUUCAUCAGCUGGGGUAUAUAUGUGCACCAGGGCCUCCCGCUCCUUCUAUUCCGGUUAGAGCCAGUUUCCAGUAUUCUGUGAAGGGAGUCGU
Molecule: long non-coding RNA, 359 nt
Organism: Esox lucius (northern pike)
Lineage: Eukaryota; Metazoa; Chordata; Actinopteri; Esociformes; Esocidae
Source: Ensembl